AUCCCACUUGUUCUUCCCUCCAAAACCCACCAAACAAGACCGGACCAUAUGGAAAACAGAGUCACCCUGCGAUCCCAAUCUCUCCACCACAGCACCACAUUCUUCUGCCUCGAGAAAUUAUCAGGCAGUCUUUUUUUCCCCGUAGAAUUAUUUUACAGCGUGAUACGGCACGAGAAUCAUAAGCACGAUUGAUGCGGACCUGGAAUCCGAUGCUUCUCACCGAUAAGCUAUUGCCACGUGCCUCAUGGAAGCAUCGCAUUAUAAUUUAUUUGCCGCCUUCGUUGCGAGCAAGAUCCUCCUCGACAUCAGUCCUGGAAUCGGUGCAUUGCGGUGAUUCUAGCUACUUCUGGGACCGUAACUUUGUCUCCGAGGCCCUCAAGAUUUCAGCUAAAGUCCGUUCCAUCCUUGGAGGGGAGCAGUUGCAUGCAGCCAUAGUGAAAUUUGGCUUAGUGGACGUGUUAUCCUUGCAAAAUCAGAUCUUGGACGUGUAUGUUAAGUGUGGGCGAUGUCAGGACGCAUGGAGACUGUUCGAAGAAUUGCCCGUGAGAAACGUUGUCACUUGGAAUACUCUGAUUAAUGGGCUCGUCGGAUUUCCCCACAACGUGAAGUAUGAUUGCUGCACUGUUUUUUCUGCUAUUAGGAGGAUGCAGCUGGAAUCAGUGAACCCCGAUUUUCUUACCUUUAGCAGUCUUCUCCGAGCUAGUGUUGAGUGCAAAAAUAUGGGGAUAGGUACACAGUUGCACUGUUUCAUAGUGAAAUAUGGGUUUCUUCAGAACUGUUUUGUCAGUAAUUCUCUCCUUAACUUCUAUGGGAAACUUGGUGCUAUACAAAAUGCUAGGCAGCUUUUUGAUGAAGUUAAAUACCGGGAUUUAGCAGUUUGGAAUGCAAUGCUGUCCUGCUAUGCCUUGGAACCUUCUCCCAGAGGAGGGGCUUUAAGGAUAUUUUGCUCGAUGCACCAGGAAGGCUUGAAAGGGGAUGAGUUUACGUUUUCUAUGUUGCUGAGCUUUUGUGCUGCUUCCGUAUUUUUGCACCUAGGCAAGCAGAUUCAUGGGCUAAUAGUUAAAUUUUCUUUUGCUGUUGACGUUCUAGUUUCCAGUGCCCUCAUUGAUAUGUAUGCGAAAAAUGGGCUAGUGGAUGAUGCUCGCAGGACCUUUGAUGAGAUGCCCUUUAGGAACCUGGUCUCUUGGACCACAAUUAUCGUAUGUUAUGGAAAGCAAGGAAAUGGGAGGGAGACUAUGAGGAUUCUCCGAGAAAUGCUCCGAAGAGACUUCCACCCAGAUGAGUUAACCCUCUCUAGUGUUCUUACCUCAUGUGGAAAUGUAUCUGCAACCAGCGAAAUUCUUCAGUUGCAUGCGUAUUUGGUGAAAUCACGACUUCAUACCUUUUUGUCUGUAUCUAAUUCUCUGAUCAGUGCAUACUCGAAGUGUGGCAGCAUAGAGAGUGCUUCACAGUGUUUUGACUCAUUUGCUGAACCUGACAUUGUCACAUGGACUUCAAUCAUCUGCGCAUAUGGGUUUCAUGGGCUUGCAAAAGAAUCUUGCGAAAUGUUCAGAAAGAUGUUGUCCCAUGAAAUAAGACCUGACAAAGUUGCCUUCCUCGGGGUCCUCUCUGCCUGUAGUCACGCUGGACUAGUAAAUGAAGGGCUUUACUACUUCAACUUGAUGACCGAUGUAUAUGGAAUUAUACCCGAUUCAGAGCAGUAUGCUUGUCUGAUUGAUCUUGCAGGGCGUCAUGGUCUUCUAGAACAAGCUUAUGAAGUUUUAAGCUCAAUGCCGGAGCUGGAUCCGAGCACUCUUGGAGCAUUUAUUGGGGCAUGUAAGGUCCAUGGAAACUCAAGACUUGCCCGGGAGGCAGCUGAUAGGCUGUUCUCUUUGGAGCUGGAUAAGUCUGUUAACUAUACCCUCUUAUCAAAUAUUUAUGCUCUUGAAGGAAAGUGGGAAAAUGUGGCAAGAGUUAGGAAACUAAUGAAGCAGAGAUGUGAACACAAAGUUCCUGGAUGUAGCUGGAUCGAGGUUUCUGGAAAUGUCCAUACAUUUGUCUCGGGCGAUAAGUCUAACCCCAGAAGCUCAGAAUUGUAUGAUGCUCUAGAAAUGUUCCUUUGGGAAGUCAAUGAGGGAAGCAGUAUCUUCUGCGGCUCAAAUAUAUGGCACUAUAAGCAUGUGGAAGAGAAGUUAUGUGACUAGAAGGCAACAGAUCUGCAGAUGCUGCGCCCUCUGUCAUCGUUUCAUAACUACAAGGAUAAGAAAUUUUUAUCCACAAGUUUUUCUUCCCAGCUUUCCAAAUAUCUUCUCCUGUCCCGUAUGCGCUCUGUACCUGAAAUCUGCAUAAAUCCUCUCGUCGUCUUCCUCCCUUCUCUCAGAGGUGCUCGCAGCCAUUGAUACACCAACUCGAUCCUCUGUAGCAUCAACGACCUGAUCAGGGUCUUGGGUUGGUGUUCGAACAGUUUGUCGAUUUCUUUGAUUUCUCUCGUCUGUGGAA
Punica granatum (pomegranate) is the source of this 2478-nucleotide non-coding RNA. Lineage: Eukaryota; Viridiplantae; Streptophyta; Magnoliopsida; Myrtales; Lythraceae. The record is from RefSeq and is a predicted model, not a curated record.